UGACCUCGGAUCAGGUGAGGAUACCCGCUGARUUUAA
RNAcentral lists this ribosomal RNA (37 nucleotides) under Peltigera polydactylon. RNAcentral's name for it is "partial 28S ribosomal RNA". Lineage: Eukaryota; Fungi; Ascomycota; Lecanoromycetes; Peltigerales; Peltigeraceae. The record is from RNAcentral.